AUUGAACGCUGGCGGCAGGCCUAACACAUGCAAGUCGAACGGUAACAGGAAGCAGCUUGCUGCUUCGCUGACGAGUGGCGGACGGGUGAGUAAUGUCUGGGAAGCUGCCUGAUGGAGGGGGAUAACUACUGGAAACGGUAGCUAAUACCGCAUAAUGUCGCAAGACCAAAGAGGGGGACCUUCGGGCCUCUUGCCAUCGGAUGUGCCCAGAUGGGAUUAGCUUGUUGGUGGGGUAACGGCUCACCAAGGCGACGAUCCCUAGCUGGUCUGAGGGGAUGACCAGCCACACUGGAACUGACACACGGUCCAGACUCCUACGGGAGGCAGCAGUGGGGAAUAUUGCACAAUGGGCGCAAGCCUGAUGCAGCCAUGCCGCGUGUAUGAAGAAGGCCUUCGGGUUGUAAAGUACUUUCAGCGGGGAGGAAGGGAGUAAAGUUAAUACCUUUGCUCAUUGACGUUACCCGCAGAAGAAGCACCGGCUAACUCCGUG
This 490-nucleotide ribosomal RNA is filed under the name uncultured bacterium. RNAcentral's name for it is "partial 16S ribosomal RNA". It matches the Rfam family "Bacterial small subunit ribosomal RNA", at positions 30 to 507 of the family's 1533-position model. The record is from RNAcentral.